GAUGAACGCUGGCGGCGUGCCUAACACAUGCAAGUUGAACGAAGCACUUACGACGGAAUCCCUCGGGAGGAAGAUGUAAGCGACUUAGUGGCGGACGGGUGAGUAACGCGUGGGUAACCUGCCCUGUACAGGGGGACAACAGCCGGAAACAGCUGCUAAUACCCCAUAAGCGCACGGUAUCGCAUGAUACAGUGUGAAAAGCCGAGACGGUACAGGAUGGACCCGCGUCUGAUUAGAUAGUUGGUGGGGUAACGGCCUACCAAGUCAGCGAUCAGUAGCCGGCCUGAGAGGGUGAACGGCCACAUUGGAACUGAGACACGGUCCAAACUCCUACGGGAGGCAGCAGUGGGGAAUAUUGCACAAUGGGGGAAACCCUGAUGCAGCGACGCCGCGUGAAGGAAGAAGUAUUUCGGUAUGUAAACUUCUAUCAGCAGGGAAGAAAAUGACGGUACCUGACUAAGAAGUCCCGGCU
RNAcentral lists this ribosomal RNA (472 nucleotides) under uncultured bacterium. Its description in RNAcentral is "bacterial SSU rRNA". It matches the Rfam family "Bacterial small subunit ribosomal RNA", at positions 28 to 498 of the family's 1533-position model. The record is from RNAcentral.